CCUACGGGGGCUGCAGUGGGGAAUAUUGGACAAUGGGCGAAAGCCUGAUCCAGCCAUGCCGCGUGUGUGAAGAAGGCCUUCGGGUUGUAAAGCACUUUCAGUGGGGAAGAAAGCCUUGGGGCUAAUACCCUCGAGGAAGGACAUCACCCACAGAAGAAGCACCGGCUAACUCCGUGCCAGCAGCCGCGGUAAUACGGAGGGUGCGAGCGUUAAUCGGAAUUACUGGGCGUAAAGCGCGCGUAGGCGGUCUGAUAAGCCGGUUGUGAAAGCCCCGGGCUCAACCUGGGAACGGCAUCCGGAACUGUCAGGCUAGAGUGCAGGAGAGGAAGGUAGAAUUCCCGGUGUAGCGGUGAAAUGCGUAGAGAGCGGGAGGAAUACCAGUGGCGAAGGCGGCCUUCUGGACUGACACUGACGCUGAGGUGCGAAAGCGUGGGUAGCAAACAGGAUUAGAUACCCCUGUAGUC
RNAcentral lists this ribosomal RNA (464 nucleotides) under Vreelandella stevensii. RNAcentral describes it as "partial 16S ribosomal RNA". It matches the Rfam family "Bacterial small subunit ribosomal RNA", at positions 338 to 795 of the family's 1533-position model. The record is from RNAcentral. Lineage: Bacteria; Pseudomonadati; Pseudomonadota; Gammaproteobacteria; Oceanospirillales; Halomonadaceae.